RNAcentral lists this ribosomal RNA (627 nucleotides) under uncultured fungus. Its description in RNAcentral is "eukaryotic LSU rRNA". It matches the Rfam family "Eukaryotic large subunit ribosomal RNA", at positions 23 to 664 of the family's 3401-position model. The record is from RNAcentral. Lineage: Eukaryota; Fungi.
ACCCGCUGAACUUAAGCAUAUCAAUAAGCGGAGGAAAAGAAACCAACAGGGAUUGCCUCAGUAACGGCGAGUGAAGCGGCAACAGCUCAAAUUUGAAAUCUGGCUCUUUCAGGGUCCGAGUUGUAAUUUGUAGAAGAUGCUUCGGGUGUGGCUCCGGUCUAAGUUCCUUGGAACAGGACGUCAUAGAGGGUGAGAAUCCCGUAUGUGACUGGUUGCCUUCGCCUAUGUGAAGCUCUUUCGACGAGUCGAGUUGUUUGGGAAUGCAGCUCAAAAUGGGUGGUAAAUUUCAUCUAAAGCUAAAUAUUGGCCAGAGACCGAUAGCGCACAAGUAGAGUGAUCGAAAGAUGAAAAGCACUUUGGAAAGAGAGUUAAACAGUACGUGAAAUUGUUGAAAGGGAAGCGCUUGCAACCAGACUUGCACGCGGUUAAUCAUCUGGUGUUCUCACCGGUGCACUUGACCGCGUUCAGGCCAGCAUCGGUUUAGGUGGUGGGAUAAAGGCCUUGGGAAUGUAGCUUCUUUCGGGGAGUGUUAUAGCCCUCGGUGUAAUGCCGCCUACCUGGACCGAGGACCGCGCUUCGGCUAGGAUGCUGGCGUAAUGGUUGUAAGCGACCCGUCUUGAAACACGG